This 23-nucleotide non-coding RNA is filed under the name Arabidopsis thaliana (thale cress). The record is from RNAcentral. Lineage: Eukaryota; Viridiplantae; Streptophyta; Magnoliopsida; Brassicales; Brassicaceae.
ACCGUCCUUGGAACCAAUGCCUA